This 1023-nucleotide long non-coding RNA is filed under the name Zonotrichia albicollis (white-throated sparrow). RNAcentral's name for it is "lncRNA (ENSZALG00000001052.1)". Lineage: Eukaryota; Metazoa; Chordata; Aves; Passeriformes; Passerellidae. The record is from RNAcentral.
CCCAUUCCAUAAACCUGGAAGGACCUGAGGCCACAGAUCAGCACUUGAGUCCUUCCACAGCCCAGGAAGGACCUGGGGACAUGGGAACCACCCCUGACACCCCCAUUCCAUAGACCUGGACCUGAGCACAUGGAUCAGCACUGACAGCCCCGUUCCUUGACCCUGGAAGGACCUGGGGACAUGGAACACCACUGACACCUUGAUUCCAUAGACCUGAAAGGACCCAAGGCCAUGGAUCAGCACUGACACCCCAAUUCCCUGACCCUGGCAGGACCCAAGGCCAUGGAUCAGCACUGACACCCCCAUUCCACAAUCCUGGCAGGACCCAAGGCCUCGGAUCAGCUCUCAUUGAACCCGGGCUGCAGCUCCCAGGGCCUGGAAUCACAUCCCAGCCCUCCCAAAGGUCAGGGACAGCAGGAAAACCAAACCCAGCCCAGCCCAGCUCUGCCCAGACGGAUGGGGAGGGAAACUGAGCGAGGAACAGGCUCCUGGGGUGAAAAUUGAGCAAAGAAUGGAAUUCUGGGGAGGAAAACCGAGUGAGGAACUGAAUUUUGGGGAGGAAAACUGAAUGAGAAACUGAAUUUCAGGGAAGAAAACUGAGAGAGGAAGGGAAUUCUAUGGAAGAAAACUGAGUGAGGAAGGGAAUUCUGGGGAAGAAAACUGAGUGAGAAAAGGAAUUCUGGGGAAGAAAACUGAGGGAGGAAGGGAAUUCUGUGGAAGAAAACUGAGUGAGAAAAAGAAUUCUGGGGAAGAAAACUGAGUGAGAAAAAGAAUUCUGUGGAAGAAAACUGAGGGAGGAAGGGAAUUCUGGGGAAGAAAACUGAGGGAGGAAGGGAAUUCUGGGGAAGAAAACUGAGUGAGAAAAGGAAUUCUGGGGAAGAAAACUGAGGGAGGAAGGGAGUUCUGGGGAAGAGCACUGAGGAGGGAGGAGCAGGCUCCUGGGGAGGAACACCAGGGAGGAGGAGCAGGCUCCUGGCCGGGCUCCAGCCCAGCAACCCAACACCUGCUCCACACCUGGGCCAG